UUCUGCUUCGGCUACUGCAAUUCAGUCGGAGUUAUAUAUAGUAGAAGUAAACCCUAUAUAGGGUUUUAGUAGCAUAUAAUCACCGUCACACCCCCUGCCCCCCUCCGUGCCGGGGGGCAAAGGACUAUAGGUGAGUUGUCGGACUUGCAGGUUUGAAGGAAGGAGGAUGAUUUUGACGGCAUAGAUGGUCCAUUGAUUUGUGGCCUUUAUUCUAUAUGUACUGAUAAAUUUGGACUCCGGCGGUGUUCUGUUAUCUGGUCACAUCCUGCCUUCUCCCCAUGGCUUCAAUUGAAGGAAUUCUCUGCUUGUAUGACAGGAUGUACUUUUUCAUAGUCCCUUCCUAUCUCUGUUAGUGGUGAUUAUAUUUAGAAAUUUUGUAAGCAAUAAUCGAAUGCAUUUUGAGAGUCGAGUACUCAAUUCAGAAACAUUUUGAUAUAAAUUCAGUCAAUCUUCUUUCUUCUGAUC
Long non-coding RNA from Coffea eugenioides, 465 nucleotides. RefSeq lists it as uncharacterized. Lineage: Eukaryota; Viridiplantae; Streptophyta; Magnoliopsida; Gentianales; Rubiaceae. The record is from RefSeq and is a predicted model, not a curated record. The transcript is spliced from 2 exons.